This 899-nucleotide ribosomal RNA is filed under the name Apis mellifera caucasia (Caucasian honeybee). Its description in RNAcentral is "Apis mellifera caucasica (Caucasian honeybee) partial large subunit ribosomal RNA". Lineage: Eukaryota; Metazoa; Arthropoda; Insecta; Hymenoptera; Apidae. The record is from RNAcentral.
GGUUGAUUAAAAUAUAUGUAAUGAUCUUAAAUAUCUCGAAGAUAAGGGAGCUAAAUUUAUAUUAUUUUUUUUGUAGCAAUAAAAUUAUAAAUAUAGAUUUAGAAAUUAAAUGUUAAACGAACUUAUUAAUAUCUAGUUUUCUUAGAAAUAAAUUUAAUUUAGAUAUAAUUAUUUUAGUAAAUUAAAUUUUAUUUUAAUUUAUUAAUUUUUAUAUUAAAAAUUUAUGGGAUAAUCUAUAAAUUUAAGAUAAAAAUUUAAUUUUAAUUUUUAAUGUUAUAGAGAUAAUAUUUUUCUUUAAUUUUAAUAAUUUAAUAAUUUAAUAUUUAUAAAUUAAUAAUGAUUUAAAUUUAUAUUUUAUUUUUCUAUAAAAAUUUAUAUUUUAAUUAAUAAAAUAUAGAAAUAAUGAUUAGAUUAGUAAUAAAGUUAUAUUUUAUAAUGAUAUUUUGUAUUAUAUAAUUUAAAGGAAUUCGGCAAAUAUAUUAUUCACCUGUUUAUCAAAAACAUGUCCUGUUGAUUAUAAUUUUAGGUCGAUCUGCUCAAUGAAUUAUUUUAAAUAGCUGCAGUAUGUUGACUGUACAAAGGUAGCAUAAUAAAUUGUCUUUUAAUUGAAGAAUUGUAUGAAAGAAUUAAUGAAAUAAUAACUGUCUCUAAAUUAUUAAAUGAAUUUAAAUUUUUAGUUAAAAUUCUAAAAUUUAAUUAUGGGACGAUAAGACCCUAUAGAAUUUAAUUUAAUUUUUAAAUUUAUUUAUAAUUUUAAUAAAUAUAUUUAAGAUUAAAUUUGAUUGGGAGGAUUGGUAAAUUUAAUAAACUUUAUUUAAGAUUUAAUUUUGAUAUAAAGAUAAUUUUUUGAAUUAUAAAUUGUAAUUAAAAGAAUAAAUUACCUUAGGGAUAACAGCGUA